UACGAAGGGUGCAAGCGUUAAUCGGAAUUACUGGGCGUAAAGCGCGCGUAGGUGGAUUGGAAAGUUGGGGGUGAAAUCCCGGGGCUCAACCCCGGAACUGCCUCCAAAACUUCCAGUCUGGAGUUCGAGAGAGGUGAGUGGAAUUCCGAGUGUAGAGGUGAAAUUCGUAGAUAUUCGGAGGAACACCAGUGGCGAAGGCGGCUCACUGGCUCGAUACUGACGCUGAGGUGCGAAAGUGUGGGGAGCAAACAGG
This 253-nucleotide ribosomal RNA is filed under the name uncultured bacterium. RNAcentral describes it as "partial 16S ribosomal RNA". It matches the Rfam family "Bacterial small subunit ribosomal RNA", at positions 524 to 776 of the family's 1533-position model. The record is from RNAcentral.